This is a non-coding RNA of Xylariaceae sp. FL1019, 105 nucleotides long. NCBI's taxonomy places the organism in Eukaryota, Fungi, Ascomycota, Sordariomycetes, Xylariales, Xylariaceae. The record is from the annotation of a GenBank genome assembly.
GCCCCGAUGGUCCAAUGGUCAAGACGGCGAUGCCUCUUACAGUCUCAACUAAAAUUGAGAUUGAAGGGGGUAUUUCGGAUCCGGGUUCGAUUCCCGGUCGGGGUA